AUGAUCAGAGGGGAGGGAGCAGGCGGCACCGGGCCGGGCGGCCGGGAGCCGCCUCUAGGGGGGGUUCUCGGGGCCGCCUCGCCCCCCGCCCGGCCCCUCCGUGCCCGGAGAGCGGCCCCGGCCCCGGCGAGAUGGCAGCUGGGCGCUGCCGGCGCUCGCCCCCACCUGAUGGCUCUCCCCGUCACCCACCCUUCCCGGACCCGCAGCACGUCGCAGGUCACGCUCUCCCGCCGCUGUGUCUUCUGCCGGGAUCCAGAAGCACGGACACAGCCGACUCCUAACCCGGCGUUUCUCCGGAGCAGCGGGGGUGUUGUGAACACUUAUUAAACCCAGAUGAUCCGAGAGUUGGGGCAUACGGAAAAGAUUUCCAAUUAAAGCCGAGAGCAGCCAGCUUCGCGUCGCAGGUGUAAACAAUAUUUGUGCAGCUCUCGCCCCCCAUCCCGUAGCGGAUCCUUCCCCCCGCUGGAUCCCGCAGGGAGGAGAGGGAAAGGGACCGCUUCUCGUUCCGGGCCCCACUCGCCCCUGGCCGGGCUCCCCACAUCGCUCGGUGCGCAUUCGGGCGGCUCUGUGCCUGCAGCCCCUGGCCCCGAACAUCCACCCCUCCGCUCACCUGUUGCUGCAGCCGCUUCCGUAAAGGCAGGGACUAAAAGGAGAAUACAAUAGCUCCGGUCUCGGAAAGCGGCGGCGGUGUAAAGCGUUGCGGUGACACGGGAGGUGGGGUGGGACGGCACGCGGGGACAGUGGGCAUCACCGCGGGCUGCUGGGUACGCGCUCCCGCUUGGAAAAGUGCUUUCUUACAACUUUGAUGCCGGAUUUAGAGGAAUCUGGGAGCUCAAAUGCAGCUGGGAGUAUGUUUCCCAGUUCGCCGAGAGCGUUCGGGUUCACGAAGCACCUCGGAGGCCGUGGGAGCGGACCCCGAACAGCUCCUGCCUCGUUAGCGAGACCGGGCACGCUCGCUUCGGAAGUUCCAGUUUAAAUAACGGAGAAAGCACUCACGUAUGCUUAAUUCACGCUUUCUUUAAAUACCAUUAUGACAAUUGUCUCGAUCCGAGGUCAGGGAAAAAUCCUGUUCGGUGGAGACAAGAGGCCGACAGAGUGGCAGGGUGGCUUUGGGAGCGAAUCGGUGGAAGCGCCGUGCGGGCAGCUCACCUCCCGCAAAGCAAGGGCGCGGUUGGUGCCCGCCGCUCUUGGAGCCGCUCGCCCUGCCCCGGGGCAGGUUAUGGGAGGCACAGACCGCACAGCCCCUGACCGUCCAUCCCCGGCAGCGAAGUGAGCAGAGCGGAUUGCGAAAGACCGCGCGCACUGGGAUGUGGAGGGGGGUCGAGAG
RNAcentral lists this long non-coding RNA (1327 nucleotides) under Phasianus colchicus (ring-necked pheasant). RNAcentral's name for it is "lncRNA (ENSPCLG00000005116.1)". The record is from RNAcentral. Lineage: Eukaryota; Metazoa; Chordata; Aves; Galliformes; Phasianidae.